This 565-nucleotide ribosomal RNA is filed under the name Flavobacterium columnare. Its description in RNAcentral is "partial 16S-23S ribosomal RNA intergenic spacer". The stretch from base 243 to 316 matches the Rfam family "tRNA". The record is from RNAcentral. Lineage: Bacteria; Pseudomonadati; Bacteroidota; Flavobacteriia; Flavobacteriales; Flavobacteriaceae.
CCUUACUCUCGCUGUUAUUCAAAAAAGAAAAGACUUACUAUACAGAGUCUCGUAGCUCAGCUGGUUAGAGUACUACACUGCUAAUGUAGGGGUCGGCAGUUCGAGUCUGCCCGGGACUACAAACAAAUUUGAAAAUUGAUUAAUUUGAAAAUUUGAAAAUGAUUUAAGUUAAAAAGGAAAUUCUAGGGGUUGAGAGGUUAUGAAUACUCAUAACUCAUAACUAAUAACUCAUCACUAAGAUUGGGGGAUUAGCUCAGCUGGCUAGAGCGCCUGCCUUGCACGCAGGAGGUCAUCGGUUCGACUCCGAUAUUCUCCACUAUUCGAGUGAAUAGUAAAGAGUAAAAAGUGAAAAGUAAUUAACUAAUCACUAUUUACUUAUCACUAAAAAAAAGUAAAUUGUCCUUUGGCGUUUUGCGUUCAACCUACUAACAAGAACACUUAACCCUUUAGUACUUAGUGAAUAGUAAUUAGUCUUAGGGCUAGGGGCUAGUCACUAAUAACUAAUCCCUAAUCACUGAAAACAGUAAGCAAUAUGCGGGCUUAGGGGGUAUGCCUAAUGCCUAGA